GCUAAACGCGAAGAACCUUACCCACCUUUGACAUGUACGGAAUCCUUUAGAGAUAGAGGAGUGCUCGAAAGAGAGCCGUAACACAGGUGCUGCAUGGCUGUCGUCAGCUCGUGUCGUGAGAUGUUGGGUUAAGUCCCGCAACGAGCGCAACCCUUGCCAUUAGUUGCUACGAAAGGGCACUCUAAUGGGACUGCCGGUGACAAACCGGAGGAAGGUGGGGAUGACGUCAAGUCCUCAUGGCCCUUAUAGGUGGGGCUACACACGUCAUACAAUGGCUGGUACAGAGGGUUGCCAACCCGCGAGGGGGAGCCAAUCCCACAAAGCCGGUCGUAGUCCGGAUCGCAGUCUGCAACUCGACUGCGUGAAGUCGGAAUCGCUAGUAAUCGCAGAUCAGCAUUGCUGCGGUGAAUACGUUCCCGGGUCUUGUACACACCG
This 435-nucleotide ribosomal RNA is filed under the name uncultured bacterium. RNAcentral's name for it is "bacterial SSU rRNA". It matches the Rfam family "Bacterial small subunit ribosomal RNA", at positions 954 to 1392 of the family's 1533-position model. The record is from RNAcentral.